AUCUGGAGGCGCGGAGAGCCUCCGCAGGAGUCCAUGAAACACUGAGCGAAGGGGCGCCCCAGGGAGGGCACGACCCAAGACCCCUCCCUCCCGAAGACGUCUCACGGGGAGCCUCUACACUGCUCCUCGCUUCCCCAGCUCUGAUCGUAGCCAUGGCAACGCAUGAGGAGGCUGGAUGCCGGACAGGGCGGCGGAGGGCUCCCCAAACACACCCAACUACAGGAGCAUUCGCGCUGAGGACGAAGCCCGAACGCCAACGCCAACGGGAUGUCCUGGGCGCUCAGCUGCCAUCAGCUGUGCUUCCUCAGGCCACCGGCCACGGCUCUAGGAGGCAGACCCCACCAUCACCCCCAUUCUGCAAAGAACGGAGCCGAGAAAGAGAGAGAAACGGCUGCCCACGGCCGGGAAGAGCAGGAAUUGGAACCAGGGUUUGGGUCCAGAGGAGGAGCUCUCACCACAGCGCUGCUGGAGGCCUGGGGCCCCCGGAACUGAGGAUAUAUCAUGAAUAAUUUCAAGCCCCUUGGGUUUAUCUAGGUACAGGGCCAUCCUGAAGACAGACGCCCCACUCUCUAGAAGCCAUUACUCAGUGGGGCAAAGGACGUGGGCUUUGAUGGGAGACACACAGGCGGCUGUGAGAGCCCAGCAGAAACAAUUCCGCUCCCACGGCUCCCGUCCAUGCCCUCCCACUGCUACCUCAGUGGCUGGCUCCCAUCUCCUUCAAACAUCGAAUAAAUGCCUCCCUCACUGGGGGAUACCACACUGCCCCCUUCCCUUACCAUGCCUCAGUUUCCCUCCUCUGCAAAAUGGAGCAUGGAAUCGCCCCGCCCCAUCUCCAACAAUAGGUGGCCUAGUCCACAAAGCACCAUGCACAGUAGGUGGUCUGUGAGUGUCUGCACACAGGCUCCCUGCCUGCCCCUUUGACACAGAGCACACAGGAGGUGCUAAACACAGGAUGCCGUGACGUCCCCCGUCCCACGCAGCCCCAUCCUCGACGAGGUACACAGUAGGUGCUUCAUGGAGGAGGCUGCCUGGUGCCCCAGCAUCACCAAAGGCACACAGGAGGUUCCCUGUGUCAAUGUAGGCGUAGGAGCAACCAGCGUGACCUCCCCAACUUGGCUGGGCACACAGUGGGCCCUCAGGAGCAGAGUAGGCACCUUGCUUGUAUCUGUGGCAAGGCACGGGGCUCAUACAGACUCGAGUUUGAAUCCAGGGAUGCCCCGUGUGUCAAGAAAGCACCCGUACCUCUCGGGCCGACAGUUUCCCCAUCUGCCACAUAAGCCAAGCACUGAACAGGUGCUCAAUGAAUCCACACUGUCAGGAGGCUUGGGGCUGCAUGA
Molecule: long non-coding RNA, 1337 nt
Filed under: Homo sapiens (human)
Lineage: Eukaryota; Metazoa; Chordata; Mammalia; Primates; Hominidae
Description: non-protein coding lnc-KDM4B-7:3
Source: RNAcentral